This is a regulatory RNA element of 45 nucleotides. It matches the Rfam family "Histone 3' UTR stem-loop". From Rfam's summary of the family: The mRNAs of metazoan histone genes lack a poly-A tail. 3' end processing occurs at a site between a highly conserved stem-loop (modelled by this family) and a purine rich region around 20 nts downstream (the histone downstream element, or HDE). The stem-loop is bound by a 31 kDa stem-loop binding protein (SLBP - also termed the histone hairpin binding protein, or HBP). The record is from Rfam.
CAAAAGGUGUUUUUCAACACCACCCAAAUUUAUCUAAUCAUUACG